UGAUGUGAGAUUCUGCCCAACAGUAGCUAAACGACUCGGAGUCUUUAACAGAUUGGGUGAUGUCCACCCACCUUGAAAAGGGCAAUCUACUUUGUUCAACUCACUGAAUCAAAUACUGAUCUCAGAAACACUCUCACAAAGAUAUCCAGAAAUAAUGCAUAGGAGUUCAAGACCAGCCUGGCCAACAAUGGUGAAACCCUGUCUCUACUGAAAAUACAAAAAUCAGCCAGAAAUAUAUCAUCCUUUCUUUGAGACUUUUUUUGUUGAUUCAUUGAAAACCAGCAUAGUCAGGAGAUUGGGUUCUUCCACUGAAGACAUUUAUCAGACUGUUUCAAAUUGCCUUGGCUUGGAGACAGAUAUAGUCAGUUUCAGUAAAAGCACUAUUUAUUUUAAAAGGAAAUAUUCUUUUUAAAAAUACUAAUUAAAAUUUAUUUCUCAGACUUAGCUUUGUAUUAAGGAUACAUUUUCUAUCACCAUUAUUUUACUUUAACAAUGUAUAAAAACAGUACAAAUAUAUA
This 518-nucleotide long non-coding RNA is filed under the name Callithrix jacchus (white-tufted-ear marmoset). RNAcentral describes it as "lncRNA (ENSCJAG00000055232.2)". The record is from RNAcentral. Lineage: Eukaryota; Metazoa; Chordata; Mammalia; Primates; Cebidae.